UGACUCAGAGAAAAGAGUGGAUAUGCC
RNAcentral lists this non-coding RNA (27 nucleotides) under Rattus norvegicus (Norway rat). The record is from RNAcentral. Lineage: Eukaryota; Metazoa; Chordata; Mammalia; Rodentia; Muridae.